CCUACGGGUGGCAGCAGUGGGGGAUAUUGCACAAUGGGGGGAACCCUGAUGCAGCGACGCCGCGUGGGUGAAGAAGCGCCUCGGCGCGUAAAGCUCUGUCAGCAGGGAAGAAAAUGACGGUACCUGAAGAAGAAGCCCCGGCUAACUACGUGCCAGCAGCCGCGGGAAUACGUAGGGGGCAAGCGUUAUCCGGAUUUACUGGGGGUAAAGUGGGCGCAGACGGCAGUGCAAGCCAGGAGUGAAAGCCCGGGGCUCAACGCCGGGACUGCUCUUGGAACUGCGUGGCUGGAGUGCAGGAGGGGAAGGCGGAAUUCCUGGUGUAGCGGUGAAAUGCGUAGAUAUCAGGAGGAACACCAGUGGCGAAGGCGACCUGCUGGACUGCAACUGACGUUGAGGCCCAAAAGCGUGGGGAGCAAACAGGAUUAGAUACCCUGGUAGUC
This 440-nucleotide ribosomal RNA is filed under the name uncultured bacterium. Its description in RNAcentral is "partial 16S ribosomal RNA". It matches the Rfam family "Bacterial small subunit ribosomal RNA", at positions 338 to 795 of the family's 1533-position model. The record is from RNAcentral.